UCUGCGAGUUUGCUCCCAUAUUGUUGCAGUUAAAACGCCCGUAGUCUGAAUUGGCCAGCAAUGGUCGUACGUAUUUUUACGUUCACUGUGAACAAAUCAGGACGCUUAGAGUAUGGCCACAUGAAUGACUCAGCGCAGUAUGAAGUCUUUGUUUUCUUCCGAAAACAAGCUCAAUGAGAGCCAUCGGGGGUAGAUCUAUCUCAUGACGAGUGGUGGAAUACUUUGACUCAUGAGAGAGAAGCUGAGGCGAAGGCGUCUACCUAGAGGGUUUCUGUCGAUCAAGGGCGAGAGUAGGAGUAUCCAACAGGAUUAGAGACCCUGGUAGUUCCUACCUUAAACGAUGCCGACAGGAGUUUGUCAUUUGUUAAUGGCAGAAUCUUUGGAGAAAUCAUAGUUCUUGGGCUCUGGGGGAACUACGACCGCAAGGCUGAAACUUGAAGGAAUUGACGGAAGGGCACACCAGGGGUGGAGCCUGUGGCUUAAUUUGAAUCAACACGGGGAAACUUACCAGGACCAGAUGUUUUUUAUGACUGACAGGCUUCGGGUCUUUCAGGAUAUUGUUUUUGGUGGUGCAUGGCCGUUGGUGGUGCGUGGGUUGACCUGUCUAGCGUUGAUUCAGCUAACGAGCGAGAUUAUCGCCAAUUAUUUACUUUGCCGAAGUCCUUCGGUUAAAGUUCUAAUUGGGACUCCCUGCGAUUUUAGCAGGUGGAAGAGGGUAGCCAUAACAGGUCCGUGAUGCCCUUUAGAUGCUCUGGGCUGCACGCGUGCUACAAUGUUAGGAUCAAUAGGACUGCGAGCCUGAGAGGGUGCGCUACUCUUAUAAUCCCUAACGUAGUUGGGAUUGACGUUUGUAAUCAGCGUCAUG
RNAcentral lists this non-coding RNA (865 nucleotides) under Trichomonas vaginalis G3. RNAcentral describes it as "Eukaryotic small subunit ribosomal RNA". It matches the Rfam family "Eukaryotic small subunit ribosomal RNA", at positions 590 to 1601 of the family's 1831-position model. The record is from Rfam by way of RNAcentral. Lineage: Eukaryota; Parabasalia; Trichomonadida; Trichomonadidae.